GUGACCGAGGCCGAAGGGGUCGAGGCACAGCACUGUGAAUGCUGAAGCAGUGAGUUCGAGUCUCACCGGUCACCCC
RNAcentral lists this transfer RNA (76 nucleotides) under Thermoflexales bacterium. Its description in RNAcentral is "tRNA-His". It matches the Rfam family "tRNA". From Rfam's summary of the family: Transfer RNA (tRNA) molecules are approximately 80 nucleotides in length. Their secondary structure includes four short double-helical elements and three loops (D, anti-codon, and T loops). Further hydrogen bonds mediate the characteristic L-shaped molecular structure. tRNAs have two regions of fundamental functional importance: the anti-codon, which is responsible for specific mRNA codon recognition, and the 3' end, to which the tRNAs corresponding amino acid is attached (by aminoacyl-tRNA synthetases). tRNAs cope with the degeneracy of the genetic code in two manners: having more than one tRNA (with a specific anti-codon) for a particular amino acid; and 'wobble' base-pairing, i.e. permitting non-standard base-pairing at the 3rd anti-codon position. The record is from RNAcentral. Lineage: Bacteria; Bacillati; Chloroflexota; Thermoflexia; Thermoflexales.